This 347-nucleotide ribosomal RNA is filed under the name Cerotoma atrofasciata. RNAcentral describes it as "partial 12S ribosomal RNA". Lineage: Eukaryota; Metazoa; Arthropoda; Insecta; Coleoptera; Chrysomelidae. The record is from RNAcentral.
UUAAAAGUAAUUUAAUUAUUAAAUUAUUAUUAGUUAAGAUCUUUAAAAUUAAAAAUUUUGGCGGUAUUUUAGUCUAUUCAGAGGAACCUGUUCUGUAAAUGAUAAUCCACGAUUAAAUUUACUUUUAUUUUUAAUUUAUAUAUCAUCGUAAUAAAAUAUUUUUUUAGAAUUAUAAUAUUUAAAAUUUUAAAUUAAAAAAUUAAUCAGAUCAAGGUGUAGUUGAUAUAAAAGAAGAAAUGGGUUACAUUUAAUUUUAUUUUUAGAAAUUUAAUAGUAUAUUAAAUUGAAAAUGGAUUUGAUUGUAAUAUUAAUAAUUUUAUUAAUAUGAUUUUAGCUCUAAAGUAUGU